RNAcentral lists this ribosomal RNA (819 nucleotides) under uncultured eukaryote. RNAcentral's name for it is "SSU rRNA". It matches the Rfam family "Eukaryotic small subunit ribosomal RNA", at positions 629 to 1426 of the family's 1831-position model. The record is from RNAcentral.
CGGUGUUUAACUGGCGUGAUGUGGGACGUCCUACCGGUGGGCUUAGCCUCGCGAGGGGCGGCCCAACUAAUAUCCCGUCGCGGUGCUCUUUACUGAGUGUCGAGUCGGGCCGGUACGUUUACUUUGAACAAAUUAGAGUGCUUAAAGCAGGCUAUCCUCGCCUGAAUACUGCGUGCAUGGAAUAAUGGAAUAGGACCUCGGUUCUAUUUUGUUGGUUUUCGGAACCCCGAGGUAAUGAUUAAUAGGGACAGAUGGGGGCAUUCGUAUUGCGACGUUAGAGGUGAAGUUCUUGGAUCGUCGCAAGACGGACAGAAGCGAAAGCAUUUGCCAAAAAUGUUUUCAUUAAUCAAGAACGAAAGUUAGAGGUUCGAAGGCGAUCAGAUACCGCCCUAGUUCUAACCAUAAACGAUGCCAGCUAGCGAUCCGCCGAAGUUCCUCCGAUGACUCGGCGGGCAGCUUCCGGGAAACCAAAGCUUUUGGGUUCCGGGGGAAGUAUGGUUGCAAAGCUGAAACUUAAAGGAAUUGACGGAAGGGCACCACCAGGAGUGGAGCCUGCGGCUUAAUUUGACUCAACACGGGAAACCUCACCAGGCCCAGACACCGGAAGGAUUGACAGAUUGAUAGCUCUUUCUUGAUUCGGUGGGUGGUGGUGCAUGGCCGUUCUUAGUUGGUGGAGCGAUUUGUCUGGUUAAUUCCGAUAACGAACGAGACUCUACCCUGCUAAAUAGGCGUACCUUAUGGUAUCGCGAAGGCCCCCGGCUUCGGCCGGUGGGUUUUUACUACCAACGUACAAACAAAUCUUCUUAGAGGGACAGGCGG